GUGAAAUGUUUAGGACCACUGG
Molecule: microRNA, 22 nt
Filed under: Petromyzon marinus (sea lamprey)
Lineage: Eukaryota; Metazoa; Chordata; Hyperoartia; Petromyzontiformes; Petromyzontidae
Description: pma-miR-203a-3p
Gene: pma-miR-203a-3p
Source: miRBase by way of RNAcentral